UUUCCGUAGGUGAACCUGCGGAAGGAUCAUUAAUGUGUUUGGGCCUCACGGCUCUUCAUUCCGACGCUGUGCGCCUUCGGGCUGCACGCUGAGGGAGCAUAUAUCCACCCCUGUGCACACACACGGUGGCGAGCUGGGUAACGGCUCGCCGCUGAUCUUUACACACGUCUAAAAGUCAUUGUAUGUUUAUUUGAGAUAAAAACACAACUUUCAGCAACGGAUCUCUUGGCUCUCGCAUCGAUGUAGAACGCAGC
Molecule: unclassified non-coding RNA, 254 nt
Filed under: plant metagenome
Description: partial contains small subunit ribosomal RNA, internal transcribed spacer 1, and 5.8S ribosomal RNA
Rfam family: 5.8S ribosomal RNA (bases 206-254)
Source: RNAcentral